Molecule: ribosomal RNA, 439 nt
Filed under: uncultured marine picoeukaryote
Lineage: Eukaryota
Description: bacterial SSU rRNA
Rfam family: Eukaryotic small subunit ribosomal RNA
Source: RNAcentral
AAGUAUCGUUAUUUGGUGGUCAUUUCUUACAUGGAUAACCGUGGUAAUUCUAGAGCUAAUACAUGCGCCCAGACCCGACUUCUUGGAAGGGUUGUGUUUAUUAGAUACAGAACCAAUCCUCGCCCCACCUGGUCCUUUGGUGAUUCUUAAUAACCGAACCACUCGCAUAGCGUUUGCUGGCGAUCAAUCAAUCUUCUUACCGACCUACCUUCUUUCGACGGGAAGUUAUUGACCUACCGUGUCAAUGACAGCUAACAAAUAAUUAUGGUUCCAUUACAGAGAGGCAGCCUGACAACCAGCUACUCCAUCGAAGGAAGGCAGCACGCGCACUAAUUACCCCUUCCUGACGCAGGGAGGUACUGACAAUAACUAACCAUGCGCGGCCUCCCUGUCUUGUUGUUGGAGUGAGUAUUAUUUAUCUCUCUUUAUGAAUAUCGAU